Molecule: ribosomal RNA, 270 nt
Filed under: uncultured bacterium
Lineage: Bacteria
Description: partial 16S ribosomal RNA
Rfam family: Bacterial small subunit ribosomal RNA
Source: RNAcentral
AAUCAACGCUGGCGGCGUGCCUCAGACAUGCAAGUCGAACGCGAAAGUUCCCUUCGGGGAAUAAGUAGAGUGGCGCACGGGUGAGUAACACGUAGGUAAUCUACCUUCGGGUGGGGAAUAACCCAGGGAAACUUGGGCUAACACCGCAUGAUGCAGCGGCACCACAUGGUGACAGUUGUUAAAGCGGGGGAUUUUCGGACCUCGCGCCUGAAGAGGAGCCUGCGGCGGAUUAGCUAGUUGGUGAGGUAACGGCUCACCAAGGUGACGAUC